This 840-nucleotide ribosomal RNA is filed under the name Enterococcus faecalis. Its description in RNAcentral is "bacterial SSU rRNA". It matches the Rfam family "Bacterial small subunit ribosomal RNA", at positions 39 to 850 of the family's 1533-position model. The record is from RNAcentral. Lineage: Bacteria; Bacillati; Bacillota; Bacilli; Lactobacillales; Enterococcaceae.
GCGGCGUGCCUAAUACAUGCAAGUCGAACGUUCUUUCCUCCCGAGUGUUUGCACUCAAUUUGAAAGAGGAGUGGCGGACGGGUGAGUAACACGUGGGUAACCUACCCAUCAGAGGGGGAUAACACUUGGAAACAGGUGCUAAUACCGCAUAACAGUUUAUGCCGCAUGGCAUAAGAGUGAAAGGCGCUUUCGGGUGUCGCUGAUGGAUGGACCCGCGGUGCAUUAGCUAGUUGGUGAGGUAACGGCUCACCAAGGCCACGAUGCAUAGCCGACCUGAGAGGGUGAUCGGCCACACUGGGACUGAGACACGGCCCAGACUCCUACGGGAGGCAGCAGUAGGGAAUCUUCGGCAAUGGACGAAAGUCUGACCGAGCAACGCCGCGUGAGUGAAGAAGGUUUUCGGAUCGUAAAACUCUGUUGUUAGAGAAGAACAAGGACGUUAGUAACUGAACGUCCCCUGACGGUAUCUAACCAGAAAGCCACGGCUAACUACGUGCCAGCAGCCGCGGUAAUACGUAGGUGGCAAGCGUUGUCCGGAUUUAUUGGGCGUAAAGCGAGCGCAGGCGGUUUCUUAAGUCUGAUGUGAAAGCCCCCGGCUCAACCGGGGAGGGUCAUUGGAAACUGGGAGACUUGAGUGCAGAAGAGGAGAGUGGAAUUCCAUGUGUAGCGGUGAAAUGCGUAGAUAUAUGGAGGAACACCAGUGGCGAAGGCGGCUCUCUGGUCUGUAACUGACGCUGAGGCUCGAAAGCGUGGGGAGCAAACAGGAUGAGAUACCCUGGUAGUCCACGCCGUAAACGAUGAGUGCAAGGUGUUGGAGGGUUUCCGUCCUUCAGUGCUGCA